CAGAUGAGGGUUUUUGGGGGUUGGUGGGGUGAUGGCGUGAUGGCGCCUUGGCGUCAUGGCGUCUUUGCCGUGCCUACAGCCCACUACCACGUUUACGCUUGUAUGGUUUGACAGAGUUAUUGUGAGUGAAUCAACA
Molecule: unclassified non-coding RNA, 136 nt
Filed under: uncultured fungus
Lineage: Eukaryota; Fungi
Description: sequence contains ITS1, 5.8S rRNA gene
Source: RNAcentral